AGUAAGAGAAGGAGAAGCCCACAGAGGAGGGGAGAAGAACCAGGAAGUAGCGGGUCCUUGAGAUGGGAGCUGGGAGCAGCAGGGACCCUUGUGAGGGAAAGCUAACGGCCAGGGAGAGGAUCAGUCUCUUGCUGGACCCUGGCAGCUUUGUUGAGAGCGACAUGUUUGUGGAACACAGAUGUGCAGAUUUUGGAAUGGCUGCUGAUAAGAAUAAGUUUCCUGGAGACAGCGUGGUCACUGGACGAGGCCGAAUCAAUGGAAGAUUGGUUUAUGUCUUCAGUCAGGAUUUUACAGUUUUUGGAGGCAGUCUGUCAGGAGCACAUGCCCAAAAGAUCUGCAAAAUCAUGGACCAGGCCAUAACGGUGGGGGCUCCAGUGAUUGGGCUGAAUGACUCUGGGGGAGCACGGAUCCAAGAGGGAGUGGAGUCUUUGGCUGGCUAUGCAGACAUCUUUCUGAGGAAUGUUAUGGCAUCCGGAGUCAUCCCUCAGAUUUCUCUGAUCAUGGGCCCAUGUGCUGGUGGGGCCGUCUACUCCCCCGCCCUAACGGACUUCACGUUCAUGGUAAAGGACACCUCCUACCUGUUCAUCACUGGCCCUGAUGUUGUGAAGUCUGUCACCAAUGAGGAUGUUACUCAGGAGGAGCUCGGUGGUGCCAAGACCCACACCACCAUGUCAGGUGUGGCCCACAGAGCUUUUGAAAAUGAUGUUGAUGCCUUGUGUAAUCUCCGGGAUUUCUUCAACUACCUGCCCCUGAGCAGUCAGGACCCGGCUCCUGUCCGUGAGUGCCAUGAUCCCAGUGACCGUCUGGUUCCUGAGCUCGACACAAUUGUCCCUUUGGAAUCAACCAAAGCCUACAACAUGGUGGACAUCAUACACUCUGUUGUUGAUGAGCGUGAAUUUUUUGAGAUCAUGCCCAAUUAUGCCAAGAACAUCGUUGUUGGUUUUGCAAGAAUGAAUGGGAGGACUGUUGGAAUUGUUGGCAACCAACCUAAGGUGGCCUCAGGAUGCUUGGAUGUUAAUUCAUCUGUGAAAGGGGCUCGUUUUGUCAGAUUCUGUGAUGCAUUCAAUAUUCCACUCAUCACUUUUGUUGAUGUCCCUGGCUUUCUACCUGGUAAGUUUUGACAGAGUGGGGGCUAGGAGAGUUGCCUUUCUCAGUAAGGCACCCACUUUAUUUGGAAAUCUUCUUGCAGAACUCCCCGAGGACUUGUGACUUCUCCAUGUAUUCUGGGUGUCCAGAAGAUAGGGCUGUGUAAGGAAUGGCCCUCUCCAGAGGUGGGAAAGACCUCACAGCUG
This 1292-nucleotide small RNA is filed under the name Pongo abelii (Sumatran orangutan). Its description in RNAcentral is "retained intron". Lineage: Eukaryota; Metazoa; Chordata; Mammalia; Primates; Hominidae. The record is from RNAcentral.